AGUGAACGCUGGCGGUAGGCCUAACACAUGCAAGUCGAACGGCAGCACAGUAAGAGCUUGCUCUUACGGGUGGCGAGUGGCGGACGGGUGAGGAAUACAUCGGAAUCUACUUUUUCGUGGGGGAUAACGUAGGGAAACUUACGCUAAUACCGCAUACGACCUACGGGUGAAAGCAGGGGAUCUUCGGACCUUGCGCGAUUGAAUGAGCCGAUGUCGGAUUGGCUAGUUGGCGGGGUAAUGGCCCACCAAGGCGACGAUCCGUAGCUGGUCUGAGAGGAUGAUCGGCCACAUUGGAACUGGGACACGGACCAGGCUCCUACGGGAGGGAGCAGUCGGGAAUAUUGGACAGUGGUCGGAAGCCUUGUCCAACCAUACCGCGUGGGUGGAGAAGGCCUUCGGGUUGUGAAGCCCGUUUGUUGGGAGAGAAAAGCAGCAGGUUAAUACCACGCUGUUCUGACGGUACCCAAAGAAUAAGCACCGGCUAACUUCGUG
Molecule: ribosomal RNA, 492 nt
Filed under: uncultured bacterium
Lineage: Bacteria
Description: partial 16S ribosomal RNA
Rfam family: Bacterial small subunit ribosomal RNA
Source: RNAcentral